AACAGGCAAAAAAUGGGAAAAAUGGCAAAAAAAAUGGGAAUAAAACCAGGAAAAAUGUGAAUAAAGGGCAGGGGAAUGGGUGACCUGGGGUUGGGGACACACCUGUGUCACCUGCGGGGCCAGGUACUGCUGCAGCCGCUGCCUGGGCACGCACCAGGACACCAGGUACCCACAACUGGGCAAAAACCCGGGGAAAAUGGGAAAAACGGGGGAAAAAUGGGAAAAACGGGGAAAAAAUGGGAAUAAAAACCCCAAAAAUGGGAAUAAACGGCAAAAAAAUGGAGAAAAAACAAGGAAAAAAUAGGAAAAAAGGCAAGAAAAUGGGAAUAAAAACUAGAAAAAUGGGGGAAAAGGGCAAAAAAAUGGGACAAAUGGGAAAAAAAUGGGAAAAAUGGCAAAAAAAAUGGGAAAAUGGCAAAAAAACGGGAAUAAAAACAAGAAAAAUGGGGGGAAAGGGAAAAAAAUGGGACAAAUGGGAAAAAAUGGGGAAAAUGGCAAUAAAAUGGGGAAAAACAGGCAAAAAAUGGGAAAAACGGCAAAAAAAUAAGAAAAAUGGCAAAAAAAUGGCAAAAAUGGCGAAAAAACGGGAAUAAAAAUAAGAAAAAUGGGGGGAAACGGGAAAAAAAUGGGAAAAACAACCAAAAAAUAGGAAAAAUGGAAAAAAAUGGGGAAAACAACCAAAAAAUAGGAAAAAUGGCAAAAAAAUGGGGAAAAACAGCCAAAAAAUGGGCAAAAUGGCAAAAAAAUGGGAAUAAAAACAAGAAAAAUGCGGGAAAGGGGAAAAAAAUGGGAAAAACAGCCAAAAAAUGGGAAAAAUUGCAAUGAAAUGGGGAAAAACAGGCAAAAAAUGGGAAAAAUGGCAAAAAAAUGGGAAUAAAAACCCCAAAAAUGGGAAUAAAGGGCAGGGGAAUGGGUGACCUGGGGUUGGGGACACACCUGUGUCACCUGCGGGGCCAGGUACUGCUGCAGCCGCUGCCUGGGCACGCACCAGGACACCAGGUGCCUGAAGUGGACGGUGUGACCACGCCCACAACAUGGCUGCCGCGUGUUCGCCGCAAAAUGGCCGCCGCAUCCACGCCGUGUUUGAUCCCGGGCUUAAAAUGGCCGUCGUGGCUCCACCCCCAAGAUGGCUGCCAUGGCCACACCCCCAAAAUGGCUGUCAUGGCCACACCCCCAAGAUGGCUUCCAUGGUUACACCCCCAAAAUGGCUGCCAUGAUGCAAUUUCCAAGAUGGCUGCCACGGCUCCACCCCCAAGAUGGCUGCCAUGGCCACACCCCCAAGAUGGCUGCCAUACCACACCCCCAAGAUGGCUGUCACGGCCACACCCCCAAGAUGGCUGCCAUGGCCACACCCCCAAGAUGGCUGUCAUGGCCACACCCCCAAGAUGGCUGCCAUCGCCCCACCCACCCCGAGCCCAUUUUGAACCAAAAUCCAGGUUUUUCCUACCAAAAUCUUUGGGAUUGAAU
RNAcentral lists this long non-coding RNA (1467 nucleotides) under Cyanistes caeruleus (blue tit). Its description in RNAcentral is "lncRNA (ENSCCEG00000005549.1)". The record is from RNAcentral. Lineage: Eukaryota; Metazoa; Chordata; Aves; Passeriformes; Paridae.